RNAcentral lists this ribosomal RNA (108 nucleotides) under Pteropus alecto (black flying fox). Lineage: Eukaryota; Metazoa; Chordata; Mammalia; Chiroptera; Pteropodidae. The record is from RNAcentral.
CAAGAAAGCCAUGCCACCCUGAACAAGUCCGAUCCCGUCUGAUCUCGGAAGCUAAGCAGGGUCGAGCCCUGCUUGGAUGGGAGACAACCUAGGAAGUCCAGGUGCUGC